Long non-coding RNA from Perca flavescens (yellow perch), 417 nucleotides. RefSeq lists it as uncharacterized. The record is from RefSeq and is a predicted model, not a curated record. NCBI's taxonomy places the organism in Eukaryota, Metazoa, Chordata, Actinopteri, Perciformes, Percidae. The transcript has 3 exons.
CCCAAAAGGACGCAGAGUUGGCUUAUUUUCUCCUGAACAGCUUCUACUCUGUGGGCCUUCACUCUAAAGCCGCCUACACAAGCAAAACCGAGAGGUAGGGCGCAGAGCAAAGAGGUAAAGCCCAGACCAGGAACGUUCUGGAAUUGUUUGCGCCCAUGUUUGCAUCUUGAAAAGGUCGGAGGCAAUGAGGUCAAAGUACGAACGGAUGCGCCCCUGUUCUACCCCUUGUCUUCAUCAUAUCCUGCUCCAUAUUCAUUCCAUCAUCCAGGUCUUCAGCAACUCUCUUCACCACCACCACCAGUGUCUAGACCUCAGGGGGAAAUAUCCUCACAGCAUAACUACCCCCCUGUACCUGUACCACGUCACGAUGGCGUCUAAUUGCCAAAGACUCUUCUCACAUUUUUUUUAUUUUUUAUC